AUUGAACGCUGGCGGCAGGCUUAACACAUGCAAGUCGAGCGGGGAAAAGUAGCUUGCUACUUGACCUAGCGGCGGACGGGUGAGUAAUGCUUAGGAAUCUGCCUAUUAGUGGGGGACAACAUCUCGAAAGGGAUGCUAAUACCGCAUACGUCCUACGGGAGAAAGCAGGGGACCUUCGGGCCUUGCGCUAAUAGAUGAGCCUAAGUCGGAUUAGCUAGUUGGUGGGGUAAAGGCCUACCAAGGCGACGAUCUGUAGCGGGUCUGAGAGGAUGAUCCGCCACACUGGGACUGAGACACGGCCCAGACUCCUACGGGAGGCAGCAGUGGGGAAUAUUGGACAAUGGGGGGAACCCUGAUCCAGCCAUGCCGCGUGUGUGAAGAAGGCCUUUUGGUUGUAAAGCACUUUAAGCGAGGAGGAGGCUACCGAGAUUAAUACUUUUGGAUAGUGGACGUUACUCGCAGAAUAAGCACCGGCUAACUCUGUGCCAGCCGCCGCGGUAA
RNAcentral lists this ribosomal RNA (501 nucleotides) under uncultured bacterium. Its description in RNAcentral is "partial 16S ribosomal RNA". It matches the Rfam family "Bacterial small subunit ribosomal RNA", at positions 30 to 523 of the family's 1533-position model. The record is from RNAcentral.